GAAGGUCUGAGGAUGAGGAGGUAAAGUCACUGUAAUGCCAGUUCUUCCCAUGAGGGGAACACUAUAGGGGAGGUUCUGAGUUACUAGAGAGAAUUCUCUCCCAGGUGCCUGGCUGGUGGGUCUAGCCCACAUGCUCAGGGUCCAGCUGAUAGCCAUAAUGUGGGUCAGGAAGGAAUUUUCCCCUGGAUCAGGUUGGCAGAGACUCUGGAUUAUUUUGCCUUUCUUUGCAGCAUGGGGCACAGGUCACUUGCAGAUUUAAACUAGUGUAAAUGGUGGAUUCUUUGUAAUUUGAAAUUGUUUAAUCCAUGAUUUGAGAACUUCAG
This 323-nucleotide long non-coding RNA is filed under the name Pelusios castaneus (West African mud turtle). Its description in RNAcentral is "Nuclear RNase P (ENSPCEG00000008490.1)". The record is from RNAcentral. Lineage: Eukaryota; Metazoa; Chordata; Testudines; Pelomedusidae.